Molecule: ribosomal RNA, 874 nt
Filed under: uncultured archaeon
Lineage: Archaea
Description: bacterial SSU rRNA
Rfam family: Archaeal small subunit ribosomal RNA
Source: RNAcentral
UCCUGCCGGACCCCGCUGCUAUCGGGAUAGGUCUAAGACAUGCUAGUCCUGCGCUUCAGCCAAAACGAGGCGCGGCAUACAGCUCGGUAACACGUGGCUAAUCUGCCCUUGUAGGACGAGAACAACCCCGGGAAACUGGGCUAACUCUCGAUAGGUGAAGAACUCUGGAAUGAGUCUUCGCCCAAAAAGCCUCACGUUAUGCGCGUGAGGUUGCCUAAGGAUGAGGCCGCGACCGAUCAGGUUGUUGGUGAGGUAAUGGCUCACCAAGCCUUUUACCGGUGCGGGCCGUGAGAGCGGGAGCCCGGAGAUGGGCACUGAGACAAGGGCCCAGGCCCUACGGGGCGCAGCAGUCGCGAAAACUUUGCAAUACACGAAAGUGUGACAGGGCUAUCCCGAGUGCCAUCCGCUGAGGAAGGCUUUUACCCAGUCUAGAACGCUGGGGGAAUAAGGAGAGGGCAAGUCUGGUGUCAGCCGCCGCGGUAAUACCAGCUCUCCGAGUGGUGUGGAUGUUUAUUGGGCCUAAAGCAUCCGUAGCUGGCUAAGUUAGUCCCUUGUUAAAUCCACCGAAUUAAUCGUUGGAUUGCGGGGGAUACUGCUUGGCUAGGGGACGAGAGAGGCAGACGGUAUUCCCGGGGUAGGGGUGAAAUCCUAUAAUCCCGAGAAGACCACCAGCGGCGAAGGCUGUCUGCUAGAACGCGCCCGACGGUGAGGGAUGAAAGCUGGGGGAGCGAACCGGAUUAGAUACCCGGGUAGUCCCAGCUGUAAACGAUGCAGGCUAGGUGUUUGGACGGCCACGUGCCGUUCUAGUGCCGCAGGGAAGCUGUUAAGCCUGCCGCCUGGGGAGUACGAUCGCAAGAUUGAAACUUAAAGGAAU